Molecule: ribosomal RNA, 403 nt
Filed under: uncultured bacterium
Lineage: Bacteria
Description: partial 16S ribosomal RNA
Rfam family: Bacterial small subunit ribosomal RNA
Source: RNAcentral
AUUGAACGCUGGCGGCAGGCCUAACACAUGCAAGUCGAGCGACCGGCGGACGGGUAAUUCAUGUCUGGGUACUGCCCGAUUGAGGUGGAUAACUACUGGACACGGUAGCUAAUACCGCAUCCUAUCGGCUAACCCCUAUGGGAUUAGCUAGUAGGUGAGGUACUGGCUCACCUAGGCGACGAUCCCUAGCUGGUCUGAGAGGAUGAUCAGCCACACUGGGACUGAGACACGGUCCAGACGCCUACGGAGGCAGCAGUGGGGAAUAGUGCACAAUGGGCGCAAGCCUGAUACAGCCAUGCCGCGUGUAUGAAGAAGGCCCUAGGGUUGUAAAGUACGUUAAGUCGGGAGGCGUUACCGACAGAAGAAGCACCGGCUAACUCCGUGCCAGCAGCCGCGGUAAUAC